Astatotilapia calliptera (eastern happy) is the source of this 504-nucleotide long non-coding RNA. NCBI's taxonomy places the organism in Eukaryota, Metazoa, Chordata, Actinopteri, Cichliformes, Cichlidae. The record is from Ensembl.
CUUCGUCCGGUGGUUGAGUAAGGGAAAAAAGUGGAGGUGUGAGCGGUGGUCCGAGGUGGUCAGACGGGCAGACAUGAAGUCCAGUGGCCGAAGUGAGUGGGCAUAAGCCGGCUUAUCCAAAAGGGGAAGACGAGCCAGUGGUUGCGAGAACAGCGAGACGAAGACUGAAACCGAAAGUUAAGCGUGUCUGGGUGACCUAGACCAAGAAGGUGGAGUCGACCAACGCCAUUGGAAGAGGUUUCACCCCUUAUGAGCUGCUGACUGGGAGACAGUUUCCAGCACCCUGGACAGUGGUCCCGGUGGAGCAGCCCAGGACAAGCAACAGGUCUCAUGCAGAAUAUUUUAAUGAGUUGAAAGCUCUUGUGUCCAGCUUUACAAAACAGGUCACUUGUGAGAGACCCACGGGGAACGGAGAGGUCCCGGACGCAAAGGCAGUGUGGCUGAAGGUCAUUAAGCGAAAGUGGAAGGAGCCCCGCUGGACUGGUCCGUAUGAGGUGACCGCCC